CAUUUUUCUUUUUUUAUCUUAUACACAGAUAACAUUUCUCUAUUUUACUCCGCACUUCCUUAGUUGUACUAAGUAAAUAUAAAUAUAAUAGCUCUAAGAAAUUCGUUUAUAAUUCCAUCUAAUCCAACAAUUUUAAAAUACUAAUAUGAACAUUUUUAUGCGUUUACGUUUUCUCUUCGAAUUCACCUAACAUUUAGUUCUAUAUUAGCAUGCACUUAUACAAAUCUGCUAUUUUUCCACUUUUACCAAUGUAUUGAAAAGGAUGCUGCAUCGUCACCUACUGUCUACGUCUUACAAACGCGAGACAUAAAAAAAUUCGUUUAGACAUAUUUUGAGCUGUUAGUUUUAAUAUUAAAGCAAAUUAACUCAAUAUCAAAAUUCAAGGUUGAAAGAUUAUAUAUACCUCAGUUUUGAGUUUUU
Non-coding RNA from Cinara cedri, 420 nucleotides. The record is from the annotation of a GenBank genome assembly. Lineage: Eukaryota; Metazoa; Arthropoda; Insecta; Hemiptera; Aphididae.